This 250-nucleotide ribosomal RNA is filed under the name uncultured prokaryote. Its description in RNAcentral is "partial 16S ribosomal RNA". It matches the Rfam family "Bacterial small subunit ribosomal RNA", at positions 524 to 773 of the family's 1533-position model. The record is from RNAcentral.
UACGUAGGUGGCAAGCGUUGUCCGGAUUUACUGGGUGUAAAGGGCGUGUAGGCGGAUUUGAAAGUCAGGCGUGAAAUACCGCAGCUUAACUGCGGGGCUGCGCUUGAAACUUCAAACCUUGAGUGCUGGAGAGGGAAGCGGAAUUCCUAGUGUAGCGGUGAAAUGCAUAGAUAUUAGGAGGAACACCAGUGGCGAAGGCGGCUUUCUGGACGGUAACUGACGCUGAGGCGCGAAAGUGUGGGGAGCAAAC